This 384-nucleotide ribosomal RNA is filed under the name uncultured bacterium. Its description in RNAcentral is "bacterial SSU rRNA". It matches the Rfam family "Bacterial small subunit ribosomal RNA", at positions 28 to 422 of the family's 1533-position model. The record is from RNAcentral.
GAUGAACGCUGACAGAAUGCUUAACACAUGCAAGUCUACUUGAACUUCGGUUUGGGUGGCGGACGGGUGAGUAACGCGUAAAGAACUUGCCUCACAGUUAGGGACAACAUUUGGAAACGAAUGCUAAUACCUGAUAUUAUGAUUUUAGGGCAUCCUAAGAUUAUGAAAGCUAUAUGUGCUGUGAGAGAGCUUUGCGUCCCAUUAGCUAGUUGGAGAGGUAACGGCUCACCAAGGCGAUGAUGGGUAGCCGGCCUGAGAGGGUGAACGGCCACAAGGGGACUGAGACACGGCCCUUACUCCUACGGGAGGCAGCAGUGGGGAAUAUUGGACAAUGGACCAAAAGUCUGAUCCAGCAAUUCUGUGUGCACGAUGACGUUUUUCGAA